Molecule: long non-coding RNA, 285 nt
Filed under: Lathyrus oleraceus (garden pea)
Lineage: Eukaryota; Viridiplantae; Streptophyta; Magnoliopsida; Fabales; Fabaceae
Description: Pisum sativum (pea) long non-coding RNA (PSAT_LNC030543)
Source: RNAcentral
AGUUAAUCAUUCAAAGAAUAAAAUUUAAAUAUUUUAACACAUAAUUGUCGCAUCCGCGAAAAACAACCGGCGGGCUGAAACAAAAAUAACACAGAGCCGCCACCGUGCGUUAUUUAUCCCAAAAGAGGGAAAGGAAACUCUCAGAGUAAACCUGGGAAAAGCAAGGUCUCGCGACCAAAGAGAAAGGGUACGGGAGUCAGUUACGCAAGGGGAAGGUAUUAGCACCCCUCACGUCCGUCGUACUCGACGGGAUCCACGCUCUAAAAGAAAGAAAAGGUUGCUAAA